This 253-nucleotide ribosomal RNA is filed under the name uncultured bacterium. Its description in RNAcentral is "partial 16S ribosomal RNA". It matches the Rfam family "Bacterial small subunit ribosomal RNA", at positions 524 to 776 of the family's 1533-position model. The record is from RNAcentral.
UACGAAGGGGGCUAGCGUUGCUCGGAAUUACUGGGCGUAAAGCGCACGUAGGCGGUCUUUUAAGUCGGUGGUGAAAUCCUGGAGCUCAACUCCAGAACUGCCUUUGAUACUGGAGAGCUUGAGUCCGGGAGAGGUGAGUGGAACUGCGAGUGUAGAGGUGAAAUUCGUAGAUAUUCGCAAGAACACCAGUGGCGAAGGCGGCUCACUGGCCCGGUACUGACGCUGAGGUGCGAAAGCGUGGGGAGCAAACAGG